GAUCUUUGAGCAUACUACAUUGAUCGCCACUACAGGUACGCAUUUCACGAACACCAGCGAUCUGAUCCACCGCAAGAGGGUGUUCUUUUCCAGAAAAGUGGUUGGAUUGCCAACCCGUGAGCCCAGGGGCUUUAUUGCGAGAGUAUAUGCUUCUGACCCAGGGGCUUCAUUGCGAGGGUCAGGUACAGGUUGAGCAGUGUGGCAUGGGCCUGAGGUCUUCGGACCAAUAGGGCAGCGAGAUUGGGUACUUUUGAGGUUAUCGUCAGUUGACGCAUAUGUCUAUAGUAGCAGUCGUUGCAUGCAUAUUUACAGUUCUUACUUUAUAGUUGUCUUGCUACUAUAGUAGAUAUUCAUGUAUGCUUUCGAUUUCAGUUACAGUAGCGGUAGCCGUUAUUCAGUCUAGUUCUUACUUUCUUUCAGUUUAUUACUACUGUAUUCGGUAUAUCUGCUCAUUAUCUUACCUAUCUCUUUCGUUUAUUAUUGUUGCUACUAUAUUUCCACUGACCCGUGUUGUUGUAUAACUCUUCCUGAUCCGGUGAGUACUCCUCGCCUUCUUCGGCUUGCGGUACCCACUGGGAGGGGAGAUAUGUUUACAUGUUCUCACCUCCCCCACUAUUUUUCAGGUAUCGCGGGUGGUGAGGGUUGAGACGAGAAGUGAGAUACGUAGCGGUUGAUAGAGCUUCCGACUCAGGUUAUUUCGGUUUAGUUAUUACCCCUAUUAUUUCUGUUGAUGUAUAGUUUAGUUAGUUUAUGUGGUUCAGUAUUUCAUUACGUUAAAAUAAAAGGAUUUCUGAAUUUUGUAAAAUAAAAGAUUUUCUACCCCUCGUGGUAGCGUUUUAAAAGAUAAAAGUUUCUGUGUAGGGAACAGUUUUCAAAAGGUUUUCUGUGGAUUUUGUAUCUUAAUAUUUCAAAACAUGUUUCUGAGUUGGAAAUAUUUUAACUGAUAGAUGUGGAUUUAUGUUUAAAUAUUGAAUAUAUAAAUGUGAACCUGUGAUGUGAAUGGUGUAUGAAUAUAUAAUUGUUGGUUAUUUGUAUAUUCAUUUGGUUGUGGUUGUACCUGGGUUACAUCUUGUACUUGUGCGACGCCGUGCAAAUACAGGGGAGGCUCUGUCCGUGUGCACAGUGGAUUUCCUGUAUUUGUGGCGGAUCUGACAUACUCUGGGGUCAGGUUUUCAAAAAAAAAAUUCAGACGCUUUUCCGCUAUCUUUUAAACUGAAAGUGACCCCGGGGCGUGACACAUGAUCUAGUAGUAAAAUGACAUCCUUGAUGAUUGACUCAUACAUGACAUAUUUUAGUAGAUAACCUUGAUAUUGGUGAUUUUAUAGUUGGUGACACUUGUAUUCAUACAGGACAUGAUUUGACAUUAGUUGACUUUAUAGUCAGUGUCACUCGUAUCCCUAUAUAACAUGACUCGACAUUAGUUGAUUUCAUAGUCGGUGAUAUUUGUGUUCAUUCCUGAUAUGCUUUGGCAUUGGUUGACUAUAGCUUGUACGGCACUGAAGGAGUCUUAGACAGGAUUACUAACCCGAGUACUUCAGUUGCCAGCCCAGUGGAAGGUGAGGUGUCAUAGACAGGGUUCGCCAUCCUGAGUUCUCACCCCCAGACUUGAUAUACGCCGCGCUUAAACAGAGUUAGCGAUUUUGGGUGCGGGUUGAUAUGUCCCUCUUGAGUGGUACUUGAUUUGCGGUCCUUGAGACCUAUGGGCGAGCUUAGGCCAAGUCUUCAUGACAGGCCACAAGGAUUGGCUAUAUUUUGGAUUUCUCGUAUGUCUAGUUGAUGCAUACUUGCACUUUGUUUUGUAUUACAGUAGUGGCUAGUUAUAUUCCUCUGUACUGUUGUUUACCCCUGCAUCAUUGCGACUGUAAUUAUGAUAUUUAUGUAUGCAUUCUAGUCUAUUUUACAGUAGUGGUAGUUACAUGUUCUAUUACUGUUCCCUUUUCUUCUGGUAUGAUAGCUACUGUAUUUGUGACAUCUACUUAUGACUUUGGUGAUCUCUUUUUGCCGGUGAGUAUUCCUCGCCUUCGGUGGCUUGCGGUACCCACUGGGAGGAGAGACAUAUGUAUAUGUUUUCACCCCCCACCCUCCAUUUCAGGUGACGUCGCGAGUCCGAGUCGGGACGCUGCGUGAGGAGCGUAUUUUAGCGAUCGAUAGCGCUACCGACCCGUCGAUUUGGUUUAAUUCUUAACCUGACUUUCUCAAAAUAAUCGAUUUAGUAUUUAUGGCUCAGUUGGUUUUAUUUUAUUUGGAUAAAUGAGAUUUUGUGAAUGUAAUAAAGAACUGAUGAUUUUUCUGAGAUGAAAAUGGUUUUCUAUCCCUCGUGGUAGCGUACUUCAAAAGAAAAGGUUUUCAUGUGGGAAAUAGUUUUAAAAAGAGUUUUCUGGUUUUCGUGAUUCUUAGUAUUUUAAAUAAGCUUCCUAGUAGAAAACGUUUUAAACUAAUAGAUGUGGAUUUAUAAAUAUCUGUGAUGAAAUGAAUGGUGAAACUGAAUGGUGUUUGUAUGUGGAUGUUCAUACUUGUGGUUGUAUCUUGUAUUUGUGCAAUGCCGUGCAAAUACAAGGGAGAUUUUGUUCGUGUGAAUAGUGGAUUUCCUAUAUUUGUGGCGGAUCUGACACGCUCUGGGGUUAAGGUUUUCAAAAAAAAAAAAAAUGGGCACUUCCGCAUNACUUAAUACGUAAAGUUAAAUUUAUCUUCUAUCUAACGUAAUACCAGCAAAUCACGUAAUAUGUAAAAGUAAAUUUAUCUAUUAUCUAUGCGUUUUCUCAAAUAUUUCCUUUCUAAAACGUAAUAACCAUCCAUCAUGCAUUAUUCAAAAUUAAAUUUUAAAUUUUAAGUUAAGUAUGAAUUAAAUUUACUAUCUAUGCUAUCUACGUGUUUUUUUCAAAUAUUUCCUUUCAUAAUACCCGCGAAUCACGUAGUAUUCAAAAUUAAAUUUUAAAUUUUAUUUUAAAUUUCGAAUUAUGUAUAUAUUAAAUUUACUAUCUACACGUUUUCGUCAAUCACAUAAUACAUAAGCAAUUUACGCAUUUUUUCAAAAAUUUUUUUCUCAAAUGUAAUAACCGCCAAACACUUAGUACUUAAAAAUUAAAUUUUAAAUUUUGAAUCCUUUCUCACGUAAUGCAUGUCAAAAUUUAAUACCCGUCAAUCUGAUAAUUUAAAAGUUAAUUCAUUAUAGUAGAUUUUCUUACGUGAUAUAGUAAAUUUAAUUUUUGGGUAUAAAAUUUUGGCGUGCUAUAAAAGCGUACAAUAUUACUAAAAAAAUUUCAUACUCCUCCAAUCAAAUCUAAAUUAUUAAUUAAAUAUAGUUUUUGAAAUUUUUUAACAAAAUAUUCAAUAUUUAAGUAAACCCGUCAAAAUAUAGAGCAUAUUUUAAUACUAUCUGUGACGCCCCAACUUCCCAAGGAGCCAUCCAUCCUAGUACUACUCCCGUCCUAAUCUCUUGGGCCUUGCAACCACCCAAAAUGUUUAAGCCAGUUAAGAGUUUGUCCUAUUGUAUUUUAUAUAUAGGACUCAGGUUCAGACUCACAAGUAUCAAGCGAUGUGAGAUUCGUUUCCCUAGCCUUGUCAUUCUGACCCUGGCUCAACUGAGACUCAUCUUACACUUCCGGCUGGUAAUUCGCUCUGAUACCAACUGUGACGCUCCAACUUCUCAGGGGUCACCCAUCCUAGGACUAUACAUGUUCUAAUACGCUUAACUCUCUUAACCUCUUGGGUCUUACAACUAUCCAAAAUGUUUAAGCCAGGUUAAGAAUUUUUAUAUAUAGGACUUCCUGGGGUCUCACAAUAUCUUUAUAAUCCAAUCUUAUCUUACCAUAAUACUUAUUACACAUACAACAUUUUUUUUUUUCAGUAUUUCCUCACUUUAAUAGCAUCCUUUUUUAUUUUUACUUGUAUUUUUCUCAAAUAUUUUCAAUAUAUAUAUAUAUAAACUAUUCAUCAGCCAAAAUAAGAAGGGUAAGAAAAGUAAACCCGAAUUAACCCGGGUCGAGAUAGCUCUAUCGACCGUACAUCGCGUACCUCACGUCUCGUCCCACUACCAUCGCCACGACUACCUGAAAAAUGUGGAGGAAGAACAUGUAAAAUGUCUCUGCACCUCCCAGUGGGUACCCGCAAAGCCGAAGAAGGCGAGGAGUAUCACCGGAUCAACAGGAAGAGAUACGGCAACAGUAAGGUAAGUAAAACCCCAGUAGCACACGAUAAUGAAGCGAAUGAGAUAAUAUAUACUAUGAAAACACAACUACCGCACUGUAAUGUACAACUGCAAGCAUACAAGGGAUAUCAAAACUAUGUAGCAAGACAACGUAAAGAAGAACUAGAAAAUACAUAGCAACAACCGCUACUAUAGCUAUAAUGCGUCAACACGACGAGAAGUCAAAAGUACCAAUCAAACCGGCGUGUCGGUAAAGGCACCUUCAAGGCAAAAGCCACCUAUCUGCUCACGACACUGGCAUGUAACCCUAGGCACAAAGAGAAGCUACGCGGCUGGGCUCACGGGUCGGAUGUACGACCACCUUUCCGGAACAGAACUACCUCCUGCGGGGGAUCAACCCGCUGGUGUACGUGACAAUGCAGGACUCGAGUGUGGCGGAUCCAAUGCGGAUAUGAUCAAUAGAACUCGUCGCAAUCAGCCAACAAUCACUGCCCUCUGGCAUACCGAGCCGUGUAGGUCAUCAAGUAACAACUGUGAACCGAACCGAGAUAGGUCAAAGUAACGGAAAGUAAACGAAGCGACCAAACAGGUCACUGCGAUCAAAUAUGAGAACGCGACCAACCAAGGUCAGCAAAGUAAUAGUAUACGAAUGUCGUCUACUCUACCCCUAUACAGGAACUACACAUAGAACAACUAGGCAGAGUAAAUAAAGAUGGUAUGGUAGAUACUGCUCGAUUGUCAACGUAAAAGUAGGAACGCAAGAACCGACCGAUAGGUCACAGAGUGUAUUGCCAUAUAGUACAGAACUUCACUACCGUCAGCACCAGCCGACAUCCUACCCCUCAGGGUACACCGACCUCAAGCGUCAUCGAACGACAGGUCAAGAAAUAGACCCAAUCCCACUAUCAUAAUGCAACAACCGACCAACCAGGUCAAACAAGAUAUACAGAUAAAAGCACCGAUCAACUAGGCACAGCGAAACGAAUACGAGAACCGACCAAUCAGGUCCUCGGGAUCACGUAUGGAUAAACUACUCUACUCCAUACACAUAUACUAAGCAAGGAAACAUAUGAUGUAGAAGGUAUAAUUAAAAAACAACGGGGAUGCAAGCUCAUAUAUAUUAUCAAGAAAUAUAUAUAUGCCAGAAUAAUAACGAGAAGAACAGGUAGGUAAGAAACCAUCACCGAGCGUGCACACACUGUACCGACGUCGGAUUCGAAGUACCCUCCACACUUGUAACGAAUGCUGGCCCUGGUCUCCUGACUCGGCGAUAAGAGCGUCGACCGACCUAAGGAGACCGGGUUUUAGGUUGUCUAAUCCCAACACUAAAUAAGCCACUAAAUCCACAACCUACAAGCAACCCUUGGGGACCCGGUUUCCCAAACGCAGAUCGUGCGUAAUACCCGGAAAGUCCCCGUAAUCGGACGAGGGACUCCGCGGAACCGUGCACGAAUGUCCGGAACAUACCCGACUGAGCUACGAGUCCACAUGCUGCCACUAAACAUAGAUACCGUGCAUCAUGACAGCAAAAACACUCCUCGUGCGACAAUUAUCGUCGAUAAUCGUUGUCGAUUCGGUUCCCGGAAGUGUCUAAUUCGACACCAGGGAACUACGCGUCGCUCACGGUUACCGCCAUUUUCGAACCCUCAAGAUGAUGCGAGUUGACCAGCCAACAGAGGCUCACAACAAAAACAUUCACUCGGAGCAACCAAAACACCGGUCGGAUAAAAUUCGAACGGCGAAAUCGGUUCUUUCGGCGAAUUUCGCGAACGCAACCGAAAUACCUUUUCGAUUUCCGGCGGGAAGCUAACGGAUCAUGGACAAUGCAGUCCAAGAGGUCAAAAACACUCACGGCCACUGCCCACAGUAGCCACACGAUGCAUAAUUGCAUAAAAGCCCCUCAUUUACAUAAAAUUCUAGUUCAUUUAUGUAAUUUGAGGCGAUCAAGCGACUCGUCACGGCAACCGAGGACUUCCAACAGUCCGGCAAUGAGACACGUACUGACAAGGUCUCAAACGUAACCGGAGUCCGUGGCUCACGACCGGAGCACACGGCGCUCGCGUUGUUGGGAACGCGGAGCAAACCCGAAGGCAGCCGAACAGCGCGGCAUCAAGGAAGAUCGCGCCCGAACAGGACAACCGGACACUUCUGAUCCAAGAAGGUGAGCAUUGUGAUCAGCACUGACCAGCGGUCACCAAUGCUCACCGCCGGAGGCAUCGUAACAGCCUCGAUCGCCGGAAAAACAAGCAAACCUGAAACAUUGCAGCCAAAAAGGCUGAAACGAUGACGUCGUCAACAAACAUACAACCGGAACGGGACCUUCCGAUCAGAAUCCAAGGUGAGCACCGAUGAUGCAGAAACAUUACCAAGGCUCAUCGUGCCUCCCUUCCGUAGAGAUCGGAAGCUUCGGAAGCCCAGAACAAGAAAACCCACUCACUAACCUAUUUCGGGCUUGGCCGGAGCAAACCUGCCCGGCCCGGCCUCCGGCGAGCACGAGCGACGCGCGGGCCCUGAGUCCGGGUGCGGGGGAGGUGGGACUCAGUGCUCAGCCUCGGUGCGACGAGAACGGCGGCGCGUCGCGGGCCAACCUCGGCCCGCACAGUAGGACACGGAUUCCAAAGGGAGCUCGGCCACGCGGCAGGCCGGGGUAUGGUCGGAUGACGACGGCAGGUCUCCCAGAGGCCAGAGCCAGGAGGAGGAGCGGCCUCAUCGAGUGGCGGUCGCGUCGGAGAAGACCGCAACAAGCCCGCCAUGGGCUCGGCUAAGGCGGGCCCGGCCUGGCCAGCGGCGACGGCAGCGCACGGGGCGGCGGCGGACCGACGGGAAGGGAUGGCCCGGGCACGGAGGAGUCGGCGGGAGGGAUCCAAGGUGUGGGCGCGGCGCUGGCGGCAGUGGCAACCCCGGCACGGCCAGGCUCGGCCUGGGCUGGCAGAUGUGGCCCGGGGCCCCACCAGCGGCGGGGCGGCAACGGCGACGGUCGAGAGACAUAUCGCCGGAAACGGUGGCCGACAACGCCAUGAGGAGGGUCAAAGGUAGCGGUGUUAUGACUCAGGCUCCUCCCAACCCAGGGAGAGAGGAGUGAAGGAAGAGAGGAGGAGAUAGAGAGAAGGAUGGAGCAGCCAGUCCGCGGCCGGCGGCGUGCUCAGUCAUCAGUGACGUGGGCUCGCGCAGGAGGUAGGGGAACGGUGGGGGGGCGGCUAGGGGCUAGGGCAAAGCUAGGGUUAGUUAGUGACUCCAACCUAGAUAACUAUAAUACUAGGUGCAACUUGCAGAAACCCUCAAACUCUGAAAUUGAAUCCGAGUCCCUCACGGUACGACUAAAACGCAAGAACGCCUCCACGUGCGAUUCACGAGAAACGGACAUAAAAUGUCGGCGACUUUUGCGAAAUUACCGUUUGCCAUCACACCGACUCUCCUCGAUUCAACGCCGGAUCUCCGCAGAUCGUCCGUCAGGAUUUGCGAACGGAUGCACAGUGCGAUCAGCACUCGGUCGAGACAACAAGCUACACUUUCGAUUCAUCUCGAUCGACCACGGAUUCACAACAAAAUCCAACCUUCUUACAUAGAAGGAAACAUACACACAAAUACAAUACAAACAUGUAUUUUUGGAUUUUAUCGAAAUCGUGCGUCAAACUCAAAAUCCAUCAGCGCCAUUAGUUCCAGAAUAGCUGAACCGGUCGAACGAGCUAUUGGAACUGAUUGAACGGAGUCCGAAUACGCACCAGAAGCCAACUCUACUCGUGCUUCUCCGGAAAACCAGAGUUACUAUUCACUUAAGUGAAAACUAAAAUCGCGUAUCCUCUCCUUUAGCUCAUUUUCGUCCGAAACUUGACGAGUGCUUAUGUAAUUAAAUUACACACAUAAACAUCAUCAACAGAGAGUUUAGUUGCACUGUCAAAAUCUCAGUCCUUACAUGUUGGCAGCCACGUUUGGGCUGAGGAUAAAUUCUGGACCUGAUCGUCCAAGCACCCAAGCCUUGCGGAAAUCAAAAGUGGUUUUCGGAGCGUUUUUCGGCGAAAUCCGCCGAUAGAAUGCGUUGUAGAUUCAGAAUUCAUCCGACGAUACCUGUGGUUGAUUGUAGCGUCGCUGAGCCUUGUAGGCUGGUCACCGUGCCGUUUCGAGGGUUUGGAAACGACGGUGAGCGACGGGGGAGUUUGGUGCGGUUUUCGGGACUUCCGGUUUGUUCGGUAAUCGGCUUUGGGAAACCGGUUUCUCGUGGUUUUGGUGAGUGGGGAUUGUGAGAUUAGCGUUACAUUGUCAGUGGGUUAGAUCUUAACCCGUUGGACCUUUCGUAGGUUCGAUUGUUCUGUCUUCACAGUCGAGAGAUCUCGUCAGACACGUACAGGUGGUACUUCGAUCCGACGUUUACAGUGGUGCCACGUUCGGUGAUGGUUCUUACCCUUGCCCUCUUACUAUAUCUGUGUGCUAUACAUAUUGAGCCUUGCACCCAUAUUAUUUUCGUAUUUACUCUAGACUGUUUUUCAUGUUUAUACUUGUGUAGGAGUAGAGCAGAUUUCAUCAGCAUAUGAUAUACUUCGUGACAUGAUUGGUCGAGUUCGCAUCCUAUAUCUGUGACACUGAUGGUCGAGUUCAUAUCCUAUACUUGUGAUAUGAUUGGUCGAGUUCACAUCCUAUAUCUGUUACAUGAUUGGUCGACGUUCAUAUCCUAUACUUAUGACAUGAUUGGUCGACUUCAUAUCCUAUAUCUGUGACAUGAUUGGCCGAUGUUCACAUCCUAUAUCUGUGACAUGAUUGUGUCGAGUUCAUAUCCUAUACUUGUGACAUGAUUGGUCGAGUUUCAUAUCCUAUAUCUGUGACAUGAUUGGUCGAGUUCAUAUCACUAUACUUGUGACAUGAUUGGUCGAAGUUUCAUAUCCUAUACUUAUGACCUAUUCGGUCGAGUUGCUACAGUUCUAUUUGACAUACGUACCAACUAGUUCGCGAUGGCCUAUACGGUCGGUGUGCCCUGAGGGGCUGGAUUGGUCGGCUAGUUGCCGAUGGAAUCUCUUGAGCAAUCUACAUUGAUCGCCACUACAGGUACGCAUUUCACGAACACAGCGAUCUGAUCUCACCGCAAGAGGGUGUUCUUUUCACAGAAAAGUGUUAUGAUUGCCAACCCGUGAGCCAGGGGCUUUUAUUGCGAGAGUAUAUGCUUCUGACCCAGGGGCUUCAUUGCGAGGGUCAGGUCAGGUAUUAGCAGUGUGGCAUGGGCCUGAGGUCUUCGGACCAAUAGGGCACGAGAUUGGUACUUUGAGGUUAUCGUCAGUUGACGCAUAUGUCUAUAGUAGCAGUCGUUGCAUGCAUAUUUACAGUUCUUACUUUAUAGUUGUCUUGCUACUAUAGUAGAUAUUCAUGUAUGCUUUCGAUUUCAGUUACAGUAGCGGUAGCCGUUAUUCAGUCUAGUUCUU
This 9555-nucleotide long non-coding RNA is filed under the name Ananas comosus (pineapple). Its description in RNAcentral is "long non-coding RNA (ACOM_LNC000815)". The record is from RNAcentral. Lineage: Eukaryota; Viridiplantae; Streptophyta; Magnoliopsida; Poales; Bromeliaceae.